Xenopus laevis (African clawed frog) is the source of this 659-nucleotide long non-coding RNA. RefSeq lists it as uncharacterized. The record is from RefSeq and is a predicted model, not a curated record. Lineage: Eukaryota; Metazoa; Chordata; Amphibia; Anura; Pipidae. The transcript is spliced from 6 exons.
GAACGACGGUGACUACUUCCGGGACUGGCUUUUUUAAAAGCUUCCGUUUCCGGUGUGUUCCUUUGUGGCUCUGCGUUUGUAGGCGGAACACAUGCGGAUUUCUCAGCUGGGGGCUGAGCACCUGGAUUUGGAGUGGAGCAAGUAGAGGAUAUUGACCCAUGAGGGUUGAGUCAGGAGCGGCCAUCUAAUUGACUGUUGAUGCCCGAGAUUGCCCAAGCAGUGGAGGAAAUGGAUUGGCUCACAGUCACUUCCUUUUUGAUGGUGGUUGCAGGUCUGGGUCGGUAGCGGAUCAAAGUGGGUAAAUAUACAGUGUCCGGGUCUUAGAAAUUUAAUCCAAGCAGGACUCUAGCUUGAGUGCCUGUAUUCCUUUGUGAUAAUUUGAUCCUGAGAUCUCCAUGUCAAGAGAGGUGAACCAGGUCACGAAGUUCUGUCAUUGUACAUUGGAAGUGACAUCAUUAGAAAUGGGCGUGAUCAGAAAAAAAUAUCCAACCUGAUCCUUGGUGAUGGGGAUGUUCUGAUGGCAGGAAUGAGGAGAAAAUGAGUCCUCUGUUGCUCCCACCCUUCCCAGCUAUAGUCAGGUGAUCCCACUGGUGUCUAAUGAAAGGGCAGCCAAGUUUAGGAGUUUUACUUUGAAAGCAGCAAGUAAGUUGCAGGUAAAA